UUAUUUGAGGUCUGGCCUGCCCACUGAGACUGAUCUUGAAGGGCCGCGGUAUUUUGACCGUGCAAAGGUAGCAUAAUCAUUAGUCUUUUAAUUGAAGGCUAGAAUGAAUGGUUGGACGAGGCAUUGACUGUCUCUGUGCAAAUGGAGUUAGAAUUUAACUUUUGAGUGAAAAGGCUCAAAUGAGUUUAAAGGACGAGAAGACCCUAUAGAGCUUUAUAGUUAAUUUUUUUGUAGCUUGUUUAGUUGAGUUUGGGUUAUAGGGAAUAAAUUAUUUUGUUGGGGUGACAGGAAGAUAUAAAGAACUCUUUUUAUUUAUUAAACAUUUAUGUAUGAGUUAUUGAUCCAUUUUUAGUGAUUAAAAGUCUAAGUUACCUUAGGGAUAACAGCGUAAUCUUUUUUGAGAGUUCUUAUCGACGAAAAGGGUUGCGACCUCGAUGUUGGAUUAAGGGUAAUUUUGGGUGUAGAUGUUCAAAGUUAGGUCGUCGCCUANC
RNAcentral lists this ribosomal RNA (491 nucleotides) under Austroperla cyrene. RNAcentral's name for it is "partial 16S ribosomal RNA". It matches the Rfam family "Bacterial large subunit ribosomal RNA", at positions 1843 to 2589 of the family's 2925-position model. Lineage: Eukaryota; Metazoa; Arthropoda; Insecta; Plecoptera; Austroperlidae. The record is from RNAcentral.